GACGAACGCUGGCGGCGUGCUUAACACAUGCCAGUCGAACGCUGAAGCUCAGCUUGCUGGGUGGAUGAGUGGCGAACGGGUGAGUAACACGUGAGUAACCUGCCCUCUUCUUUGGGAUAACGCCCGGAAACGGGUGCUAAUACUGGAUAUUCACUGAUUCUCGCAUGGGGGUUGGUGGAAAGGUUUUUUCUGGUGGGGGAUGGGCUCGCGGCCUAUCAGCUUGUUGGUGGGGUGAUGGCCUACCAAGGCUUUGACGGGUAGCCGGCCUGAGAGGGUGACCGGUCACAUUGGGACUGGGAGACGGCCCAGACUCCUACGGGAGGCAGCAGUGGGGAAUAUUGCACAAUGGGCGAAAGCCUGAUGCAGCGACGCCGCGUGAGGGAUGGAGGCCUUCGGGUUGUAAACCUCUUUCGCUCAUGGUCAAGCCGCAGCUUUGGGUUGUGGUGAGGGUAGUGGGUAAAGAAGCGCCGGCUAACUACGUG
This 482-nucleotide ribosomal RNA is filed under the name uncultured bacterium. Its description in RNAcentral is "partial 16S ribosomal RNA". It matches the Rfam family "Bacterial small subunit ribosomal RNA", at positions 28 to 507 of the family's 1533-position model. The record is from RNAcentral.